GCCCUGUUUAUAGCAAGCAGGCGUCAUGCAAUGUUGCUUCAUUCUGUUCAUUUCUUCUGAUUAUUCAGUUAUUUCACCAGAGUGCUAGACAGCUUGAUCCUCUUACCAAGCCAAAAUAAUCAAUAACAAGCCGUGACAUGAAUGAGACAAUCGAUUGAACGGAGGACCCGCUUUAUCUGGUGAAGUGCUGCACGUACCAGGCUGGAGUAGAUGGCGGAGGGGUCGGCGCUAUACGGAAAGUAGUUGGCGUAGUUCUGCCCGGCUGCGGCCGCUGCUGCUGCGUAAGGGGAGCCGUACAUCCCGAGCGCGGCGUUGAGCUCCGUCCGUGUACUCGCCAGCAGCCGGUUCUCAUAGGAGGGACAGCAGAAGGAGGCUGCGGUCUGCGAUGCGCUCGAUCCUUCUGUCACCGACCUGGAUAUCGAAUCGCAGCAAGUCGUACUGGGGGUUGCCGACACGAAAAACUGCAUGAAGAAAAUUGUGGAUAAACAUGACUUUUUUAUUUGCGUUUCAAAGCAGGCGUUUCCGUAGUUUGAAAAAGAAUUAAGACACUGUCCCGCUGAUGCGCAAAUGAACUGAAGAGGAAUCUACAGGACCCUUGCUCGCAUCUGUCUGGCCGAUCAGAGGUCCGACCUGAUGUUAAUUGCGAUGAUGUUUCCAUCUCUCUCUAUUAGAGAGAGGGCCAGUCCCGGCAGACGUGAAGAGAACCUCUGGCAGGUCAACAGAAAACUGAUUGAUGCGUAUCUCGGGACCUACGCGACCAUUACGAGAAAUGCGUAAUUGCAUCAAUUAACAAAUGGAUAUGGCCUUGUUUAACCAGCGAGUUACACCGUGAAAAUAUGCCUUUGAGGUGAAAUUAGACGAUCAGAAUGGAACUGAGAGAGAGAGAGAGAGAGAGAGAGAGAGAGAGAGAGAGAGAGAGAGAGAGAGAAAUUAGCUGAAUCUCUCAAGUCUAAUUAUACGGUAGUGGGAGGCGACGGGAACAGCAUUCUAAUUGAAGGAUGCGUACUUGAAAGGGAUGGUAGAAAUAUCGCUCCCUCACGCGGAAUAAGUCUGGAUAAAGGGUAACACAUGCAGUUUUAUUAAAUGUUUUAGACAAUAUAAUUAGAAGACCCCAUUUACUCUCCCUCUCUCUCUUUCUCUCCCUUGGUUUCUAUUGUUUUUUUUUUAUUUUAAGCUAAUGACAUUGCAUCAUUGUAUAGACACCACCUACCCAAGACAAACAUGUUUUAAUACUAUAGAUUUAGUUUAUACCAUUAUUUUAUUGCCGUUAGAGCCUAAGAAAGUUUUGCUUGUUGAUCUGAAAUGUCUAGGACACGUGGUCCUACAGUCAAGACACACUUAUCUAAAGUACUCAUCUAAAGGUUUAACUUCAUUGUGAAGUAUUGUUAUAUAAUUAAGUCUAUAUGUGACUUAAAAGAGCUGAAUGGCUGUCCUCGCGCAUCAUCAUCGUUCACGAGCAGCAGAGCAGCAGUGCUUGCGCGGUCGCUUCCAAACGCGUGGAAAUCCGUGACCAUUUGAUCGUUUUCACUGAUAAUAUGAGAGGCAUAGUUCAGUGACCCUGCUUUGAAAGGACGAGAGUCCUGUCCCAGAUGAUCUCUUUGCUAUUACAGGCUCACUCUUCGAGAGGCGCCAGAGAGCUGCGAGUAAGUGAACGGCGCCGAUGGAGCAGGUAAACCGUAAUGACGAGAGUGUUCAGGCCCAUCAAGAGUCGCGUUCAGUUCAGGUCACCGCCGUCCCUGUAUGUUCUGUGGCGAGUGUGUUACAAAGAAAACAGGGAAAAUACAGAUGUUUUGCUUAUGAGCUAUUUUAUUUAUCUGAAGGAAGUCAAUUAAACUGGCUAUUUGCCCCAAAAUAAAACUUUAGUCAUUUACUUAUAAUCAUGUCGUUCCAAACCGUUUGACUGUAUUUUUGUAUCGCGAACAGCUAAAGACUGUUUUGAAAAACUUUUGUCAAAAUAUAUCCCACAGAAGAUUUGCUUUAAAAAAAAUGAAUAUUUUGUGUAAUUUUUUCCUGUGAGUUAUCCCAUGCCAUUAAUUUGCAUUUAAGCUACUCUUUGUUCCUGCCAUAUAUUGUCUUACUUCAUAAACUCUACAAUGAAAAAAUAGAAGGAUAACACAAUGCAAUUUUAUAGACUAUAACACAUUUUGACAAAGUGUUGACUAAACAAAUUGACCCUAUUAAAUUGUGACAGUCAGUCUGUCUGUCUAUUCGUCCGUUCUUCCGUUUGUCUGUCUGUCUUGACUAGAUAUUUGAAUCUAAAACUCAAAUCUAAUAAAUCUAUUAAAUCCACUAAGUUGCUUUUCAAGUAAGCUUAUAAUUAUUUUUCCAUUAUUGCACAUUCAAAACCUUAAAUAUGUAAGUUAGACCCCAAGUGUCAAUCAAGGUGGAAAAUAUUGAGGAUUUUCACAAUUCAAUAAUCCGCGCUUAUUUAUAUAUAGAUCACUUAUUGUAGUGACUUUCCAACAAAUCUCUCAUGUUACAAGCACAAUCAGAGAUAGAAGAAUCAAAAGGAAGGUCAGACUCUCCUAUGUGAUAGUUUACUGUAGUUUCUCGAAAGCCUUUUGCAAGGGCACACAUGAUAGCCCAAGUGCAUACGGGCAGCCUCAUCCAUAAUGCAUGUGGAGCAGCUCCUGAUGAUCAGUACUUGGGGUGGAGGGGCUCGUAAGUUAAAUCAACCUUAAUUGAAGAGGUAGAACACAUUGACCAAUCCUUACGCCUAUCACUUUUCAUCCUAUUUUUGAUCUUAAAAGCAGUUUUUUUUAGUGUGAUACACUUUAAAAAAAUGCUGGGUUAUUUCCACUCUAGGUUUGUGCAUAUUUUCCACAAAUAUGAGUAUGGGUUGUUGUAAAUGGAGCUUUUUCAUAAUUUCUUCAAAAGUUUGUCUGUAAAUAUUUUAUCCAAAUCAAAAUUACCCAGAAAUAAACCAAAUAAUUGAAAC
Molecule: long non-coding RNA, 2938 nt
Filed under: Danio rerio (zebrafish)
Lineage: Eukaryota; Metazoa; Chordata; Actinopteri; Cypriniformes; Danionidae
Description: si:ch211-271c18.2 (ENSDARG00000101818.2)
Source: RNAcentral